GAUAUCAACUGAAAAAGUCAUCAACAACAAAGUUGAAUAACUCAUCAAGAUCUAAAACUUUUAUUUUGGUCAUUUCUUCAUACGACAAAGUGAUAGUAACAUUGUUCACAAAAUUGACAUAUCUCUUAUCUAGUUUUAUAAACUAUAACACAUAUAUGUAAAAUUUGUGAAUAAUAUUACUAACAUUUCGUCGGAUGAAGAAAUAACAAAAAUAAAAGUUUUAGAUCUUGAUGAGUUAUUCAACUUUGUUGUUGAUGACUUUUUCAAUUGAAAUC
This 275-nucleotide microRNA precursor is filed under the name Oryza sativa Indica Group (long-grained rice). Its description in RNAcentral is "MIR821 microRNA precursor family". It matches the Rfam family "MIR821 microRNA precursor family". The record is from Rfam by way of RNAcentral. Lineage: Eukaryota; Viridiplantae; Streptophyta; Magnoliopsida; Poales; Poaceae.